ACGAACGCUGGCGGCGUGCUUAACACAUGCAAGUCGAACGCUGAAGCUUGGUGCUUGCACUGGGUGGAUGAGUGGCGAACGGGUGAGUAAUACGUGAGUAACCUGCCCUUGACUCUGGGAUAAGCCUGGGAAACUGGGUCUAAUACUGGAUACGACAUGUCACCGCAUGGUGGCGUGUGGAAAGGGUUUUACUGGUUUUGGAUGGGCUCACGGCCUAUCAGCUUGUUGGUGGGGUAAUGGCUCACCAAGGCGACGACGGGUAGCCGGCCUGAGAGGGUGACCGGCCACACUGGGACUGAGACACGGCCCAGACUCCUACGGGAGGCAGCAGUGGGGAAUAUUGCACAAUGGGCGAAAGCCUGAUGCAGCGACGCCGCGUGAGGGAUGACGGCCUUCGGGUUGUAAACCUCUUUCAGCACGGAAGAAGCGAAAGUGACGGUACGUGCAGAAGAAGCGCCGGCUAACUACGUG
RNAcentral lists this ribosomal RNA (471 nucleotides) under uncultured bacterium. Its description in RNAcentral is "partial 16S ribosomal RNA". It matches the Rfam family "Bacterial small subunit ribosomal RNA", at positions 29 to 507 of the family's 1533-position model. The record is from RNAcentral.